Molecule: non-coding RNA, 343 nt
Organism: Schizosaccharomyces pombe (fission yeast)
Lineage: Eukaryota; Fungi; Ascomycota; Schizosaccharomycetes; Schizosaccharomycetales; Schizosaccharomycetaceae
Source: the annotation of a GenBank genome assembly
UAACUCUUCAAUUUUUCCUUUUUUCUUUUUAUACACCCGAUGCAAGCCAAGCAAGUAGCCAUCAGUUGUACGAACAAAGUGUUCUUCCAGAUCAUACCCAUGAAGUGCACAUAAAUCGAUGGUAUCUCUUGCAUCAGUUAAUUUAUUCGCGUUAUCAUCUACCAACAAUUCAGGCAAAAAGUACGAGUAUACUCUGCAAACCCCGAGGUUAGUAUCAGUGACAAUGGUAUAAGUAAUAGCUGACUCACUUUUUUGAUUGCUCAUAAAACCAAUUCCGAAGUGGACUAGGUAAAAUAACUGUACAUAUUCGAAACAUGCUCUCCAACGCAAUCAGUAAAAAACU